CCUACGGGUGGCAGCAGUGAGGAAUAUUGGUCAAUGGACGAGAGUCUGAACCAGCCAAGUAGCGUGAAGGAUGACUGCCCUAUGGGUUGUAAACUUCUUUUAUAUGGGAAUAAAAUGUUCCACGUGUGGGAUUUUGUAUGUACCAUAUGAAUAAGGAUCGGCUAACUCCGUGCCAGCAGCCGCGGUAAUACGGAGGAUCCGAGCGUUAUCCGGAUUUAUUGGGUUUAAAGGGAGCGUAGGUGGAUUGUUAAGUCAGUUGUGAAAGUUUGCGGCUCAACCGUAAAAUUGCAGUUGAAACUGGCAGUCUUGAGUACAGUAGAGGUGGGCGGAAUGCGUGGUGUAGCGGUGAAAUGCUUAGAUAUCACGCAGAACUCCGAUUGCGAAGGCAGUUCACUGGACUGCAACUGACACUGAGGCUCGAAAGUGUGGGUAUCAAACAGGAUUAGAUACCCGGGUAGUC
RNAcentral lists this ribosomal RNA (460 nucleotides) under uncultured bacterium. RNAcentral describes it as "partial 16S ribosomal RNA". It matches the Rfam family "Bacterial small subunit ribosomal RNA", at positions 338 to 795 of the family's 1533-position model. The record is from RNAcentral.